GGUUGUAAAUUAAAAUUUGUUUGGCACUGAACAGGACAUUUGGCACUGAAUGGAGUUCAGAUAACAAGUUUAGAUAUGACACAGAGAAUGAGCACGGUGCACCUGCCAGUGGUGGCUGCAGUGUAAUGAGUUAGAAAAUUGGCUGUCCACGUGCUCUUACGCUUGGCUGCAUACUGGGAAUGCAGAACUCUCACAAGGGGACUCUGAUAACCACAGCUACAUUCACUGAUAUGUGAAAUGGAUAAAUUAAAAAUCUCCAAGAAGAGUCUGAAGUUAUAACUAUAAGGAAAUGUGUUCUUUGCACCCAAAGUUUGUACAUGUU
This 322-nucleotide long non-coding RNA is filed under the name Manacus vitellinus (golden-collared manakin). RNAcentral's name for it is "lncRNA (ENSMVIG00005009777.1)". The record is from RNAcentral. Lineage: Eukaryota; Metazoa; Chordata; Aves; Passeriformes; Pipridae.